CCUGGUUCCGGCAUGGCGAGGUGGGGCUGCGUUGCGCAUAGGAAUGUGCCAGCGCUGUCCCUAAGGCCCGCCGUGCAGGAGUCCGGCGUUCUCGGUUCCAGAUGCUGCCAGUCUCGGGGAAGUCGGGAGCAGGGCUCCUCGGAGAUGGUGUAAACUUACUCAACUUCAAAUACAGUGCAGUAUCCUGCCUUUCGUUCCAGAGGGCCAUUUUCCUCAUGAAAAGUCUUAAACUUCCACCCAAGUUUUCAUUGCAAGAAAAACAGCAGCAGCAUUUAAGGACUUGUCUCAGGCUCCCAUAGAGGGUCAUCCUCAGAGGAAGGCAGAGAACUCUAUUAUACUUACAGUGAAAUGCAAAACGACUGCAGAAAAUCCCACUGAGUUCGCUCCAAAUGCUCGUCUUCUUCUUCGGCCCUGGACGUCAGACAAACAGGAAACAAAAUUAUUUUUUCUUCGUGGAGGGCAGAGCAGCACUCCCCACUUGCCGGUAUUUGGAUCCCCAGCGGUAAAGGAAUGGGUAGCACGGGGCUAGCAGGAAGCUGCCCCGCCCUUCCCUAGGCCUCUGGUUUGAACUUUCCGCAAACUUCUCGGCCCCUGGGCAGGCGGCCGCACCUGGACCCCAACCCCAAGAUCCACUCACUGCUUCUCCUGCGCGUCCAGAUCCCUGACAAGCGCGUCACGCUUGUUCACCAGGGCCACCAGCUCAUCCAACAGGAGCUGCUCACGUCGCUUCUGGGCCUCGGUCUUCUGCCAGUCUGUAGGGAACAGGAGGCUAGUUACCACGGCAAGGCCUCCGCACCCCCGGCUCCCUCCCUCCCCCUUCCCGCUUUUUUCCACUUUCCUUAUAUCUCUAAGCAAACUAUGUUAAUGGAUCCACUAGCUAGUGUUUUCUAUGGAGUCUGGCUGUUGUGGUGAGGGUGCCACCCCUAAAACUCUACUUUCUAAAUAUUUCCCGCACAUAGAGAUGGGUGCGGCAGGGUUGGAACCUGCUAGAGACCAGGUGUAAGCCGGUGGCCAGCGGGAGGUGCGCACCUGUAUCCAGGCAAAGUGGGGGAGGGGAGCUGAAGGCCAGAGAGGUUGGCCCAGGGUGGUGGUGGGAGCUAGUAAACGAGGAGGCGGGAAACAGAGAUGGGCGAUAAAAUCAUUCUGAAAGGCUAGAGAAUCUGCUUGAGAACCUACCCUCCUUCUCCACCCCCACUCUCACCUCAAACAGCCCAUUCUUCGCUAAUUUCCUCCUCGCUCUAUUUUAGCAGUUGGAUGUAUCUCACACUGGGCGCCAUAUGCUUCACAAUAACUUUAAAAGUAGUGAAUCGGCUAAUUAGCAUUUUUCUUUGAAGUAAAAAAUAAAUUUGCUCUGCAAUAUUACACUGCAGCUCUCGAUCGCAUCACAGCCAGUUUUCUUUUGGAGACGUUUGCUUGGUAGUUUCAAAUCAAAGCACUUUUGCAAAGGAAAAAAAUAACAUAUUUCUUUUUGAAACCUCAUGUUAAAGGUUGGAAAAUCCGAUGGGCAGUGAUCUUUCCAAGGGUGGAGACCGUUUGCAUGAAGGUUUUAGGCCCCAAUAAUAUAUUCCCUAAUCUUUGCUAGUCUGAUAAUUAAUUUCCUUAAGAUGAGCAGCAGUUUCAUUUAAUAAAAACAGGACCGAAUCGAACAUUUAAAACACUUUUGAAACCAAAGCCAACUGCUCUGUGGCCAGACUGUGAGGGCUUGUAACUGUCAAUCAAUUCCCAGUCUACCCCGCCUCCCUCAUUAGGAAGGUAAACAAUGAAAAGAAGAAGUAGAUGAUGAGGCAGAUAGCAGAACAAAUGAGGACCUAGAGGGAAACAGGACACCAGCUUAAAAAAAAAAAAAAAAAAAAAAAA
Non-coding RNA from Urocitellus parryii (Arctic ground squirrel), 1857 nucleotides. The record is from RefSeq and is a predicted model, not a curated record. Lineage: Eukaryota; Metazoa; Chordata; Mammalia; Rodentia; Sciuridae.